GGCUGUAGUCGGUCCCAAGGGUUGGGCUGUUCGCCCAUUAAAGCGGUACGCGAGCUGGGUUCAGAACGUCGUGAGACAGUUCGGUCCCUAUCCGUCGCGGGCGUAGGAAAUUUGAGAGGACCUGUCCUUAGUACGAGAGGACCGGGAUGGACAUACCGCUGGUGUACCAGUUGUUCCGCCAGGAGCACCGCUGGGUAGCUAUGUAUGGACGAGAUAAACGCUGAAAGCAUCUAAGUGUGAAACUCGCCUCGAGAUGAGAUUUCCCAUUUCCUUCGGGAAAGUAAGACCCCUCAGAGAUGAUGAGGUAGAUAGGAUGGAAGUGGAAGUGCCGUGAGGCAUGGAGCGGACCAUUACUAAUCGGUCGAGGACUUAACCAAG
Molecule: ribosomal RNA, 378 nt
Filed under: Limosilactobacillus reuteri
Lineage: Bacteria; Bacillati; Bacillota; Bacilli; Lactobacillales; Lactobacillaceae
Description: bacterial LSU rRNA
Rfam family: Bacterial large subunit ribosomal RNA
Source: RNAcentral